UGGGGAAUUUUGGACAAUGGGCGCAAGCCUGAUCCAGCAAUGCCGCGUGCAGGAUGAAGGCCUUCGGGUUGUAAACUGCUUUUGUACGGAACGAAACGGUCCCUUCUAAUACAGGGGGCUAAUGACGGUACCGUAAGAAUAAGCACCGGCUAACUACGUGCCAGCAGCCGCGGUAAUACGUAGGGUGCGAGCGUUAAUCGGAAUUACUGGGCGUAAAGCGUGCGCAGGCGGUUAUGUAAGACAGAUGUGAAAUCCCCGGGCUCAACCUGGGACCUGCAUUUGUGACUGCAUAGCUAGAGUACGGUAGAGGGGGAUGGAAUUCCGCGUGUAGCAGUGAAAUGCGUAGAUAUGCGGAGGAACACCGAUGGCGAAGGCAAUCCCCUGGACCUGUACUGACGCUCAUGCACGAAAGCGUGGGGAGCAAACAGGAUUAGAUACCCUGGUAGUCCACGCCCUAAACGAUGUCAACUGGUUGUUGGGUCUUCACUGACUCAGUAACGAAGCUAACGCGUGAAGUUGACCGCCUGGGGAGUACGGCCGCAAGGUUG
RNAcentral lists this ribosomal RNA (548 nucleotides) under uncultured bacterium. RNAcentral describes it as "bacterial SSU rRNA". It matches the Rfam family "Bacterial small subunit ribosomal RNA", at positions 355 to 896 of the family's 1533-position model. The record is from RNAcentral.